This is a small nucleolar RNA of Zingiber officinale, 107 nucleotides long. The record is from RefSeq and is a predicted model, not a curated record. Lineage: Eukaryota; Viridiplantae; Streptophyta; Magnoliopsida; Zingiberales; Zingiberaceae.
AGUCCGUGAUGUGGGCAUUGCCUAAACAUAUUUUUGAAUCUAUCUCAUGCCUCAAAUAAUGAUUCUGAAUCUGAUUGCUUGAAACUUGCUAUUAAAUUCCUCAUAUG